Molecule: ribosomal RNA, 226 nt
Filed under: uncultured Parvimonas sp.
Lineage: Bacteria; Bacillati; Bacillota; Tissierellia; Tissierellales; Peptoniphilaceae
Description: partial 16S ribosomal RNA
Rfam family: Bacterial small subunit ribosomal RNA
Source: RNAcentral
CGGAGGGGAGUACGACCUAGUAGAACGGUGAUUAAUACCCCAUAGGACCACAAUACCGCAUGGUAAAAGGGUAAAAAGGGGAUACCGGUGUAAGAUGGGCUCGCGUCUGAUUAGCUAGUUGGUGGGGUAAAGGCCUACCAAGGCGACGAUCAGUAGCCGGUCUGAGAGUAUGAACGGCCACAUUGGAACUGAGACACGGUCCAAACUCCUACGGGAGGCAGCAGCG